GCCCACAAGUGUUGUAGUUCUCACGAGAGAGAAAGUACUUUAUUUUACCAAAUGAAAGCACUCAAGUUUUUUUUGUUUUUUUUUAACUUAAGUAUUUAUAGAUUUUUUUAAAAAGGGGGCUUUUAUAAACUUCAGGGUCACAGGAGUAGACGUUACUUUGAAAGAAACGAAGAGAAUAACAUUCAUAAGAUAUUUUUAACUAUAGAUAAAAUCCUACCACAAAAUUCGAGGCACAGAAUCCAAAAAGGUCCCAUGAAGAGAUCGGAUCUUCCAUAUCUACUGAGCAUGAAGUUUAAUGCUGAACUCGGAAUGUUUCUUAUAGACUGGUGUUUUUAUCCAGAGCGACAUUCAAGCGAGGCAGUUGUCUGCAGCUGUCCUGCCCAAAAGACACUUCGGCACGCGUACAGGAAGAGCCAGGGGAUCAAACCGCCAACCCUGCAAUCAGUGGUCAAGCCACUCCGUCACCUGAGCCGAAGCCACCCUUUUAUGACUUGUGGUGUUUGUAUCAAAGACGACAUUGUGGUUAAAGCAGAAAUUGUCUGAAAAGCAGAAAUUGAAGCAGGAUUGUCUGAACUGUUUUCAUUAUUAGCUGUGGAGUCCGCCAUUUCCGCAGGGGAUUCAGACUGCCUACCUUCACAUGAGGGAUUCACAGGGGGGGCGUCCCGGGUGAUGUGCCGCAGGCGACGGGCUGCACACCUCCAACCGACACCUUUCACUGUGUCCUGCUGUCGUGUGGAAAUUAACUCACGAUGUGUGCAUCGGAUCGUGGUCGCAGGUAUUUUUGACCGUAUUUUUUUU
Long non-coding RNA from Xiphias gladius (swordfish), 798 nucleotides. RefSeq lists it as uncharacterized. The record is from RefSeq and is a predicted model, not a curated record. NCBI's taxonomy places the organism in Eukaryota, Metazoa, Chordata, Actinopteri, Istiophoriformes, Xiphiidae. The transcript has 3 exons.